Molecule: unclassified non-coding RNA, 252 nt
Filed under: Exophiala xenobiotica
Lineage: Eukaryota; Fungi; Ascomycota; Eurotiomycetes; Chaetothyriales; Herpotrichiellaceae
Also listed under: 1 other name
Description: partial contains small subunit ribosomal RNA, internal transcribed spacer 1, and 5.8S ribosomal RNA
Source: RNAcentral
UUUCCGUAGGUGAACCUGCGGAAGGAUCAUUACCGAGUUAGGGUCCAUCAAGGGCCCGACCUCCCAACCCUUUGCUUAUUAUACCUUGUGUUGCUUCGGUAGGUCUGGCUCGUCCUACCGGAGGACCGUAAAACGUCCUCUGGAGAGUGCCUACCGAUAGCCCAAACCAAAAACUCUUGAACAAAACAUGUCUUGUCUGAGUAAACAAAAAAAAUUAAAGCAAAACUUUCAACAACGGAUCUCUUGGUUCUG